This 482-nucleotide ribosomal RNA is filed under the name uncultured bacterium. RNAcentral's name for it is "partial 16S ribosomal RNA". It matches the Rfam family "Bacterial small subunit ribosomal RNA", at positions 30 to 507 of the family's 1533-position model. The record is from RNAcentral.
AUUGAACGCUGGCGGCAUGCUUUACACAUGCAAGUCGAACGGUAACAGGCCGCAAGGUGCUGACGAGUGGCGAACGGGUGAGUAAUGCAUCGGAACGUGCCCAGUCGUGGGGGAUAAUUACUCGAAAGAGUAGCUAAUACCGCAUACGAUCUAUGGAUGAAAGCGGGGGACCGUAAGGCCUCGCGCGAUUGGAGCGGCCGAUGUCGGAUUAGGUAGUUGGUGGGGUAAAGGCUCACCAAGCCAACGAUCUGUAGCUGGUCUGAGAGGACGACCAGCCACACUGGGACUGAGACACGGCCCAGACUCCUACGGGAGGCAGCAGUGGGGAAUUUUGGACAAUGGGCGCAAGCCUGAUCCAGCAAUGCCGCGUGCAGGAAGAAGGCCUUCGGGUUGUAAACUGCUUUUGUACGGAACGAAACGGCUCUGGUUAAUACCCGGGGCUAAUGACGGUACCGUAAGAAUAAGCACCGGCUAACUACGUG